This 227-nucleotide ribosomal RNA is filed under the name uncultured bacterium. RNAcentral describes it as "partial 16S ribosomal RNA". It matches the Rfam family "Bacterial small subunit ribosomal RNA", at positions 794 to 1017 of the family's 1533-position model. The record is from RNAcentral.
UCCACGCCGUAAACUAUGGAUGCUAGCUGUUAUGGGUAUCGACCCCCGUAGUAGCGAAGCUAACGCGUUAAGCAUCCCGCCUGGGGAGUACGGUCGCAAGAUUAAAAACCUCAAAGGAAUUGACGGGGACCCGCACAAGCGGUGGAGCGUGUUGUUUAAUUGGAUGAUAAGCCAAGAACCUUACCAAGGUUUGACAUCCCGAGAAUUUCUACGAAAGUAGAGAGUGC